AGAGAAUUAGUCCAACUUAAGACCUCUGAUUUCGGCUCAGAUAAUUGUGGUUAAAGUCCAUAAUUCCCUU
This 70-nucleotide transfer RNA is filed under the name Sardinella albella (white sardinella). RNAcentral describes it as "tRNA-Arg". It matches the Rfam family "tRNA". From Rfam's summary of the family: Transfer RNA (tRNA) molecules are approximately 80 nucleotides in length. Their secondary structure includes four short double-helical elements and three loops (D, anti-codon, and T loops). Further hydrogen bonds mediate the characteristic L-shaped molecular structure. tRNAs have two regions of fundamental functional importance: the anti-codon, which is responsible for specific mRNA codon recognition, and the 3' end, to which the tRNAs corresponding amino acid is attached (by aminoacyl-tRNA synthetases). tRNAs cope with the degeneracy of the genetic code in two manners: having more than one tRNA (with a specific anti-codon) for a particular amino acid; and 'wobble' base-pairing, i.e. permitting non-standard base-pairing at the 3rd anti-codon position. The record is from RNAcentral. Lineage: Eukaryota; Metazoa; Chordata; Actinopteri; Clupeiformes; Clupeidae. RNAcentral also lists the same sequence under 1 other name.